RNAcentral lists this ribosomal RNA (588 nucleotides) under uncultured bacterium. RNAcentral describes it as "bacterial SSU rRNA". It matches the Rfam family "Bacterial small subunit ribosomal RNA", at positions 338 to 945 of the family's 1533-position model. The record is from RNAcentral.
CCUACGGGAGGCAGCAGUGAGGAAUUUUCCGCAAUGGGCGAAAGCCUGACGGAGCAAUACCGCGUGAGGGAUGAAGGAUUUUGGUCUGUAAACCUCUUUUCUCAAGAAAGAAGUUCUGACGGUACUUGAGGAAUAAGCAUCGGCUAACUCCGUGCCAGCAGCCGCGGUAAUACGGGGGAUGCAAGCGUUAUCCGGAAUGAUUGGGCGUAAAGCGCCUGUAGGUUGUUUAUUAAGUCCGUUGUUAAAGCCUAGGGCUUAACCCUAGAAAAGCAAUGGAAACUAGUAGACUAGAGUAUGGCAGGGGUAGAGGGAAUUUCUAGUGUAGCGGUGAAAUGCGUAGAUAUUAGAAAGAACACCGGUGGCGAAAGCGCUCUACUGGACCAUUACUGACACUCAGAGGCGAAAGCUAGGGUAGCAAAAGGGAUUAGAUACCCCUGUAGUCCUAGCCGUAAACGAUGGAUACUAGAUGUUGUGCAUUAUGUACAGUAUCGUAGCUAACGCGUUAAGUAUCCCGCCUGGGGAGUACGCUCGCAAGGGUGAAACUCAAAGGAAUUGACGGCUGNGAGUGCGAGNGACACGAGGAGUAGG